GGAGUUUGGGCCGUGUCUCAGUCCCAAUGUGGCCGAUCACCCUCUCAGGUCGGCUACCGAUCGUCGACUUGGUGGGCCGUUACCUCACCAACUAUCUAAUCGGACGCGAGCCCACCCUUCACCGGAUUGCUCCUUUGACCCCUGCGGGAUGUCCCGCCGUGGUCUCAUGCGGUAUUAGUACAACUUUCGCUGUGUUAUCCCCCUCGUGAAGGACAGGUUGCUCACGCGUUACUCACCCGUCCGCCGCUAGAACAUUCAUCUUCCCUUCCAUCCGAAAACUUCCGUUCCGCUAAAUGUCCCCGCUCGACUUGCAUGUGUUAGGCACGCCGCCAGCGUUCGUCCUCGAGCCACUGAUCAAACUACU
This 364-nucleotide ribosomal RNA is filed under the name uncultured Eubacteriales bacterium. RNAcentral's name for it is "uncultured Clostridiales bacterium partial 16S ribosomal RNA". The record is from RNAcentral. Lineage: Bacteria; Bacillati; Bacillota; Clostridia; Eubacteriales.